Oncorhynchus tshawytscha (Chinook salmon) is the source of this 651-nucleotide long non-coding RNA. Lineage: Eukaryota; Metazoa; Chordata; Actinopteri; Salmoniformes; Salmonidae. The record is from Ensembl.
CAAAGACGUAGCUCUUCAGAUGAAGAUUUAUCAUGGGACCAAUGUAAUGGACACACUUUGGUGCCAAAACCUGCAUUCCUCUACUGCGGUCACACUUCAAGAAGGACUUCAAAACGGACUUUACCGUAAAGAAUUUGAAUUCAAGAACAACAAAUCACCAGAUAAUAAGACCUGAGUAGUGAGGACUCCAUCUUAGGACUCCAGUCACCUUUCCCCAAUGCUAUCCGCAUAUCAGCCUGUAUCACCUAAUCUUUUCUGUCGGAUGUGAGAUUUUCCUAACGGCAAUGGCAGGACUUCUUCCCAUCUUUAAAACAACUUUCUGACAGGUUGGGGAUUAGCAGGACUGCCUUCAAAGCCAAGUCUAUGUGAAGAGCCUCUCAGUGGUUGCUGCAGUGUACCCAAGAGGCAUCGGGAGCUACUCCUUUACCACUACACUAUGUCUCCCUGUCAUGGCUUUUGCGCCAUCAGUACAGAUACCAACACAUCUUGACCAGCAAAGUCUAUUUUAUGUCCAUGACUUUAAAAAUAUCCUCUCCUGUUGUCCUGGUUUCCAGUGGUUUGCAGAAGAGGAUGUCCUCCUUAAUUGACCCCCCAUAAACAUAACUGCCAUGUGUCAGGCCCUGUAACGCAUAGAAUUCACUGGAUUGUAUG